GGGGGGGCGGCGGGCGGCGGGGGAGGCGGCGGAUCGACGCGGCGAUCGGAAGGGUUAGGCACGAGAGAAGGAGAGGGAGUGACAGAGAGAAAGGGAGAUAGGGUUAGGGGAGAUUUUUUUUUUCAUAAAUCUUUGCCGGCGACCCGAUAAAAAGCCGUCGGCAUAGGUGUCUUUGCCGGCGGCCCUUACUAAAGCCGCCGGCAAAGACCAUUUUUCCUUUUUUUUUCUUUCCUUACUUAUUUACAUCACAAACUUGGGAUUUCUGGCCACUUUAAUUUGACUUACUGUUUUACUAGAAAAUGUGUGCAAGGAAAACCAAAAAUUUAACUCAAGUCCUCGCUAAUUUCUGCUCCGUCGAUUCUAAAUCAGACGUCACCCUCUCCUGCGGGCCUCUUGACGUCUGCGGGCUAGCUUUUCACCAAAACUUGGGUUUUCAUGCCACUUUACUCUAUCAUAGUGUUGUAUUAGGACAUGCCAACAUGUUGUCGCACGGGGCUCCGACACCGGGGGCGUGCUUGCACACCCCCUUUUAGGUUCGGCAGGGGCGUCGGGGAUCGCUCCGGCGAUCGCCGGCGUGGCCGAUGCCGUACGUAGUCCGAAGAGAGGUACACCCAAGGUGCACGCAAGCAAAGAACUCAUGCACGAGAGUUUUUAUCCAGGUUCUGGCCACCCGGAGGUGUAAAACCCUACGUCCUGCUUGUCUGAGCUUAUAUUGUCACCGAAACCAAGUGUUCACAAGUUUCCCGGGGGGAGUCCCUGGACGCUCUCUCCCCUUUCAGCUAAGUGCUACUUGCUAUUCUCGGCUAAUGCUAAUAUGAAUCCGGACGAACCGAUCAGAACGAACCAACCGGGCAGAACCAACCAACCCUUUGACCGUUGGCGGGGGUCCUCCUUUUAUACUCAAGGGGAUGCCACAGGUGCCACGCUGCAUGGGCUACAAAUGUCGAGCGGAGAGGCAUACAGCUCUCCCUCGGUGAGCUGCUGGCACGCAUGGACGCCACCUCCGCCUCUAGGGGUCUAAAACCCUAGAGUAGGAUUGGACACCCACUGUUCCUU
This 1056-nucleotide long non-coding RNA is filed under the name Brachypodium distachyon (stiff brome). Its description in RNAcentral is "long non-coding RNA (BDIS_LNC003712)". The record is from RNAcentral. Lineage: Eukaryota; Viridiplantae; Streptophyta; Magnoliopsida; Poales; Poaceae.